This 254-nucleotide ribosomal RNA is filed under the name uncultured bacterium. Its description in RNAcentral is "partial 16S ribosomal RNA". It matches the Rfam family "Bacterial small subunit ribosomal RNA", at positions 524 to 776 of the family's 1533-position model. The record is from RNAcentral.
UACGUAGGGGGCUAGCGUUGUCCGGAAUCAUUGGGCGUAAAGAGCGUGUAGGCGGUCCGGUAAGUCCGCUGUGAAAGUCGGGGGCUCAACCCUCGAAUGCCGGUGGAUACUGUCGGGCUAGAGUGCGGAAGAGGCGAGUGGAAUUCCUGGUGUAGCGGUGAAAUGCGCAGAUAUCAGGAGGAACACCUAUUGCGAAGGCAGCUCGCUGGGACGUUACUGACACUGGAGGCGCGAAAGCGUGGGGAGCGAACAGG